Molecule: RNA transcript, 810 nt
Organism: Hevea brasiliensis (rubber tree)
Lineage: Eukaryota; Viridiplantae; Streptophyta; Magnoliopsida; Malpighiales; Euphorbiaceae
Gene name: putative cytochrome c oxidase subunit 5C-4
Exons: 4
Source: RefSeq, a predicted model, not a curated record
GUAUUGAUUUAAAAAUAAGUAUCAUUUAAUGGUCGACAAUACUCUGCCGCCUUUUUCUCACAUUGUCUGUUGGUCUGUCUGGAUUCUUCUAAAGCCGCCUUGCCUUCUCUCUGUUCUCUCACCACUCUCUCUGCAGUUCUUAGUUCUAUCUCCAUCGACAGUCACUGAUAUUUACUUACAGCGAAACAUGGGUGCUGCUCAUAAGAUUGCACAUGUUGCUUACAAGGGUCCAAGUGUGGUGAAAGAGAUCAUUUAUGGAAUAGCACUUGGCCUUACUGCUGGAGGUUUGUGGAAAAUGAAUCAAUGGAAUAAUCAAAGGCGAACCAGGGAAUUCUAUGAUCUUUUAGAAAGAGGUGAAAUCAGUGUUGUGGUGGAAGAAGAGUAAAUGAUGUACUGGGGACCUAGCUGGGGAGCUCAGCAGACACCAGACAGGGUGAGCCUACAGAGCUGCAUCAGGAGUUCAAAGUCACCUCACAUCUGCACUGCAUAUGGAUAUGGAUCCUGAUUCGCAAAGAGCAGUUGAGGAAGAGGUGGAGAGUCGUGCUCCACGAAGGGCUGAAUCUGGGGGCAGGGUAGAAUCUGCUCCACCAGCAGCUGAGGCACCUGCCCAACCUCAGUUUGCGUUAUUUCAGCAAAUGGCUGAAUUCUACUGGCAAAUGAUGGGGGCAAUUCCACAGCCACAACCACCACUAGCACCACAGAAAUCUCAUUUGGAGAAAUUGAGGAAGCAUGGGGCUGUAGACUUCUUUGGGAAGAAGGAGGAUGAUCCCAUGGCUGCAGAAAAUUGGUUGGAUAGAACCAUCAGAGUGC